GAUGAACGCUAGCUACAGGCUUAACACAUGCAAGUCGAGGGGAAACGACAUUGAAGCUUGCUUCGAUGGUCGUCGACCGGCGCACGGGUGAGUAACGCGUAUCCAACCUGCCUCUGACCAAGGGAUAACCCGUCGAAAGUCGGCCUAAUACCUUAUGCAGUCGUCGGAAGUCAUCUGAUGACGACGAAAGAUUUCAUCGGUGAGAGAUGGGGAUGCGUCUGAUUAGCUUGUUGGCGGGGUAACGGCCCACCAAGGCAACGAUCAGUAGGGGUUCUGAGAGGAAGGUCCCCCACAUUGGAACUGAGACACGGUCCAAACUCCUACGGGAGGCAGCAGUGAGGAAUAUUGGUCAAUGGGCGAGAGCCUGAACCAGCCAAGUAGCGUGCAGGAUGACGGCCCUAUGGGUUGUAAACUGCUUUUGUGCGGGGAUAAAGUGAGGGACGUGUCCUUCAUUGCAGGUACCGCAUGAAUAAGGACCGGCUAAUUCCGUG
This 491-nucleotide ribosomal RNA is filed under the name uncultured bacterium. RNAcentral describes it as "partial 16S ribosomal RNA". It matches the Rfam family "Bacterial small subunit ribosomal RNA", at positions 28 to 507 of the family's 1533-position model. The record is from RNAcentral.